CAGUAGCCGCGGGAAUACGGAGGGGGCUAGCGUUGUUCGGAAUUACUGGGCGUAAAGCGCACGUAGGCGGCUUUGUAAGUUAGAGGUGAAAGCCCGGAGCUCAACUCCGGAAUUGCCUUUAAGACUGCAGAGCUAGCAGGUGAGAGAGGUGAGUGGAAUUCCGAGUGUAGAGGUGAAAUUCGUAGAUAUUCGGAAGAACACCAGUGGCGAAGGCGGCUCACUGGCUCAUACUGGACGCUGAGGUGCGAAAGCGUGGGGAGCAAACAGGAUUAGAUACCCCGGUAGUCCCUGUCUCUUAUAC
RNAcentral lists this ribosomal RNA (301 nucleotides) under uncultured bacterium. Its description in RNAcentral is "partial 16S ribosomal RNA". It matches the Rfam family "Bacterial small subunit ribosomal RNA", at positions 509 to 807 of the family's 1533-position model. The record is from RNAcentral.